This 429-nucleotide ribosomal RNA is filed under the name uncultured archaeon. RNAcentral's name for it is "bacterial SSU rRNA". It matches the Rfam family "Archaeal small subunit ribosomal RNA", at positions 474 to 903 of the family's 1478-position model. The record is from RNAcentral.
UACCAGCACCCCGAGUGGUCGGGACGAUUAUUGGGCCUAAAGCAUCCGUAGCCGGUUCUUUAAGUCCUCCGUUAAAUCCAUCUGCUUAACAGAUGGGCUGCGGAGGAUACUAUAGAGCUAGGAGGCGGGAGAGGCAAGCGGUACUCAGUGGGUAGGGGUAAAAUCCGUUGAUCCAUUGAAGACCACCAGUGGCGAAGGCGGCUUGCCAGAACGCGCUCGACGGUGAGGGAUGAAAGCUGGGGGAGCAAACCGGAUUAGAUACCCGGGUAGUCCCAGCUGUAGACUAUGCGGGCUAGGUGUUGGGGUGGCUACGAGCCACUUCAGUGCCGCAGGGAAGCCAUUAAGCCCCGCCGCCUGGGGAGUACGGCCGCAAGGCUAGAAACUUAAGGAAUUGGCGGGGAGCACCACAAGGCGUGAAGCUUGCGGUUC